This 2117-nucleotide ribosomal RNA is filed under the name Candidatus Nomurabacteria bacterium RIFCSPLOWO2_02_FULL_40_67. RNAcentral describes it as "bacterial SSU rRNA". The stretch from base 1 to 1398 matches the Rfam family "Bacterial small subunit ribosomal RNA", at positions 687 to 1533 of the family's 1533-position model. Lineage: Bacteria; Candidatus Nomuraibacteriota. The record is from RNAcentral.
UCCGUUGAUAUCAUGGGGAACACCAAAUGCGAAGGCAGUACGCUGGCGCAUAUUUGACACUGAAGCACGAAAGCGUGGGUAGCGAAUGGGAUCAAUCUGGUCCCUUCCGAUAGUGAUAUCGGAAUGAGAAUUUGGCUAUAUGCUGGAAUAUCUGUGUAUCUUCUACUACACAAUCUGCAAAGAUUGUGUGAUAAUGUAUGAAGUGCAGACAAUCAGCAGGGAAGGCUUGCAAAAUUGAAAGAGGGAAAAUUUCCGUCGUCCAAGAACCCGAAAGAGGGUAGGACCCUACAGAGGUGCUAGAGGUGUGUUAUGACCCCUUGCGGGUAUCGGCAUUACCUGCCAGUGGGAUAAUUGCCACUGGUAAUCACCAUGUACAAUGUGGAGUAAGUUGGGGUAUGGAUUUGACUCGAGUUAACCCCAAAUGAGUCUCCACCGGAUUUAUCUUUGACGAAGCGAAAGUUUCGUCGUCGGGUAAAGAAGUUGAAAAACUAUCUUUACCCUCUCUUUCAAUUUUGUAAGAACCCUCAGAGACUACACGCCAAAUAUCUUAAAAUAAUUUUUUAAGAUAAUGAUAUAGUCCGACCUUUAUGGCGACAUAAAGAUCUAUUGUAAUACUGGGUACAAAUAGUCUUCGAAAGAAGUAACAAGUAUGUAGAUACCCCAGUAGUCCACGCCCUAAACGAUGAUCUCUCGGUUUUCGGAGUAUCGACCCUCUGAGAGCCUUAGCUAACGCGUUAAGAGAUCCGCCUGGGAAGUACGGCCGCAAGGCUAAAACUCAAAGGAAUAGACGGGGACUUGCACAAGCAGUGGAUUAUGUGGUUUAAUUCGAUGGUAAACGAAGAACCUUACCAGGGUUAGAAAUCCUAGUGAAAAUCCUCGGAAACGAGGACCCUCGCAAGACUCUAGGACAGGUGAUGCAUGGCCGUCGUCAGUUCGUGGUUUGAAUUGUACCCUUAAGUGGGCUAACGAACGCAACCCUCGUUGUGUGUUACAAGUGUCACACGAGACCGCCCGUCCCAGUGCCGAGGUUGACUUGUUUGGAACGCGUCCCAGUACCGAUAUUGAAUUUCAAUUUCGGCAAUGGGAUUUGCUUUUAGACGCGUCAACGUCGGUAGCGGGACGGGAGGAAGGAGAGGAUGACGCCAGGUCAGCAUGUCCCUUUGAUAUCCUGGGCUACACACAUAAUACAAUGGCGACUACAACGCGUAGCGACGGGGCGACCCUGAGCUAAUCGUCCAAAAGUGGCCUCGGUUCGGAUUGAAGUCUGCAACUCGACUUCAUGAAGCUGGAAUUGCUAGUAAUCGCAGGUCAGCUAAACUGCGGUGAAUACGUUCUCAAGUCUUGUACUCACAAUAAAAGCGCGCAGCAGCUUAAUUUUCUAAAUGGUUCAAAUCCAUUCCCCCGAUUCGUAAUCGGGGCGUAGCUAAAAGAUAGCCUUUUACCGCAAGGUAAAUGGUGGAGGAUCUGGAAGCAAAAAGCAGCUCGACAAUAAAAGAGCCAGUUGACCUACUAGUGGGUGGUGAGGGUAGGGAAAACUCUUGAAAAGCUCGUUGGGAUGUUUGGAAAAGAAUUUUAAGUGACCUGUGGAGAUCUGACGUUUGCUAUCUUGUUUUAUACAAGAUAUAAUUAAACUUACGCAGCGUCAGAAGUCAGCUGAAUCAUAGUACUUCGAUAUUUUUCGAGGGAAGGCAUUCACUCAAAAUAAAAUUAUGAAUUUUAAAUUUACUAAAAUCAAAUCAAUCGUAGUUUUGUCUAUUUCUUUCUUGGUUGGAAUUUACUUUUUUGUAGUUUCUCCGGGAAUUAUUUUAGAUGGAACGACUUCUUUGACACAGUUGAUUCUGAAUAAAUCCAUAUUCUUUUUCUUUUGGUUUAUUCCAACAUAUAUAGUUCUUUAUGUAUUGUUGAGUUUAUUUCAAAGAAAAUAGUUUUGAGCUCGCCGAAUACGGGAAAUCCGUCCGUUCGGUGGGAACACAAAUUCGUAGUUUAACGAAAGUAUUCGCCCGUCAAGUCAAGGGAGCCGGGAAUACCCGAAGUAUCCGCAUAAGCGGGUCCUAAGGUAAGCUCGGUGACAGGGACUAAGUCGUAACAAGGCACGGGUAGCGGAAGCUGCUCGUGGA